This 85-nucleotide transfer RNA is filed under the name Felis catus (domestic cat). It matches the Rfam family "tRNA". Rfam says of the family: Transfer RNA (tRNA) molecules are approximately 80 nucleotides in length. Their secondary structure includes four short double-helical elements and three loops (D, anti-codon, and T loops). The record is from Rfam by way of RNAcentral. Lineage: Eukaryota; Metazoa; Chordata; Mammalia; Carnivora; Felidae.
GCCUGGGUGGCUCAAUCGGUUGAGCAUCUGACUUGGGCUCAGGUCAUGAACUCGAGGUUUGUGAGUUCGAGCCCCGCGUCGGGCU